RNAcentral lists this transfer RNA (85 nucleotides) under Felis catus (domestic cat). It matches the Rfam family "tRNA". From Rfam's summary of the family: Transfer RNA (tRNA) molecules are approximately 80 nucleotides in length. Their secondary structure includes four short double-helical elements and three loops (D, anti-codon, and T loops). The record is from Rfam by way of RNAcentral. Lineage: Eukaryota; Metazoa; Chordata; Mammalia; Carnivora; Felidae. RNAcentral also lists the same sequence under 1 other name.
GCCUGGGUGGCUCAGUCGGUUGAGUGUCUGACUUCAGCUCAGGUCAUAAUCUCACGGUUUGUGGGUAUGAGCCCUGCAUCAGGCU